GUGGAUGUACAGGUUGGUACUGGGACGAAGAAUACAUUGAACAUAUUAAGAAAUCUUUUGCAUAGGUGGUUGAGGCUGAAGGUGAUGAGACAGUGAGCCAGCGAAAGGAGUUCAAUGAUGUUGAUCAAGCGAAUGAUCUAUCUAUUAUAGUUGGGAUCGGACGCGAACUAAUUAUGUUGCUUAAGUGCAUUUUAGUUUUGGUUUUUUAGUGCUAGUUGCGAUUGUAUUUGUUGUAGCCAAGCUUGCUUGAAUUAAUCAACUAAUAUGUGUGUU
RNAcentral lists this long non-coding RNA (273 nucleotides) under Sorghum bicolor (sorghum). RNAcentral describes it as "long non-coding RNA (SBIC_LNC013966)". The record is from RNAcentral. Lineage: Eukaryota; Viridiplantae; Streptophyta; Magnoliopsida; Poales; Poaceae.